This is a long non-coding RNA of Sipha flava (yellow sugarcane aphid), 357 nucleotides long. RefSeq lists it as uncharacterized. The record is from RefSeq and is a predicted model, not a curated record. Lineage: Eukaryota; Metazoa; Arthropoda; Insecta; Hemiptera; Aphididae. The transcript has 3 exons.
UAGAUGAUUUUGUAUAAAUAUUCCGGAAAACCACGAUGUUCUAGAAUUUAGUUUCUAUUUAGUAGAUAAUUAUAUUUUUAAUAUUGGACUUUUCCCCGCCUUAUAUUUUGAUUUUGAAUACGAUUUCUAGCCAAAGAACUACAAAUGCAUGUUAUAUCUAUUCAUAGAAAUCAGAUUUACAGUGAUGACCGUGAUGGUGCAAAUAAUUCAAACUAGUCUUUAUGCAAACUUUUCUCACUGGUCAUGAUGUAGGUGGUCAUUUAUUACGGUCACCAACCGGGUCAAAAGUAAUUAAAAAGUAAAACAGCAACACAGCACUAUGCACAGAUAUUGCGAUAGUCGUCGUACAUCUCGUUU